This 337-nucleotide ribosomal RNA is filed under the name uncultured bacterium. Its description in RNAcentral is "bacterial SSU rRNA". It matches the Rfam family "Bacterial small subunit ribosomal RNA", at positions 32 to 359 of the family's 1533-position model. The record is from RNAcentral.
AAUCAACGCUGGCGGCGUGCCUCAGACAUGCAAGUCGAACGAUUAAAGCUCCCUUCGGGGAGUGUAUAGAGUGGCGCACGGGUGGAGUAACACGUAAGUAAUCUACCCUCGAGUGGGGAAGUAACGUCCGGAACGGACGCUAAUACCGCAUAAUGCAGCGGCACCGCAAGGUGACAGUUGUUAAAGAUUUAUUCGCUUGAGGAGGAGCUUGCGGCAGAUUAGCUAGUUGGUAAGGUAAUGGCUUACCAAGGCUACGAUCUGUAACCGGUCUAAGAGGACGGUCGGUCACACUGACACUGAAUAACGGGUCAGACUCCUACGGGAGGCAGCAGUCGGG